CCGCACGCGCGCUACACUGAUGAAGUCAGCGAGUUUAUAACCUUGGCCGGAAGGUCUGGGUAAUCUUUUGAAACUUCAUCGUGCUGGGGAUAGAGCAUUGCAAUUAUUGCUCUUCAACGAGGAAUUCCUAAUAAGCGUGAGUCAUCAGCUCGCGUUGAUUACGU
RNAcentral lists this ribosomal RNA (164 nucleotides) under uncultured eukaryote. RNAcentral describes it as "partial 18S rRNA". It matches the Rfam family "Eukaryotic small subunit ribosomal RNA", at positions 1487 to 1650 of the family's 1831-position model. The record is from RNAcentral.